ACUGUUCAGUAUUCAGAAUAGACUUGCACAAAUCUACUUUCAUCAGACUUUAUAUGAUUUUACAGUCUUUACAAUCCUCAAUACAAUUUUCACACAGUUCAAUCAGAAUACAUGCAACUCGUAUAAAUUGUGUUUCACUGCGUUAUGUUUGCUUAAUAUCCAAGUAAUUUAAAAGUUUGGCUAACAGUUUGAUCUUUGUUUUGUCAGAUUUAUCAGAGCACUUGUCCAGAACUAUAUAUUAUAUUUCAUGUUCUUUUUUUCAAGUCAUGAAAAGGAAAAUGUAUUUCAGAAAUCACAUACCUGCAAUGGUUUUAGAUACACGGGUCAUGAUAACACCUGUAAUGGUGGAUACCGGGGACACAUGUAGGGCCAUCUGCAAGCUUUGUCUUUCUUGUUUUAGAGUUUUUAGCACAAAAUAGUUUAAUUUAUCCUAGAAGGAGAGGCAUGGAGUUUGCUGGUAAGGGCUGCUGCAAGUUUUGUUGAUACUCAUAUGUAAGUGAUAAGUGAAUCGAUACAAGUGAAAAUGAUCUCAAGAUUUUGUGGUUUAGACAGAACGGAGGUUUUACAUCUGAAACGAAGACCAAAUUGUUUUUGUGUUAAUGUCAUGCAGUGAUGCCUUCUCUUGUCAAUUCUUGCUCUUCCUCAGUCAGAAUAAAGAUUUUUUUCAGUUAUGUCUCUA
Molecule: long non-coding RNA, 679 nt
Organism: Haliotis rubra (blacklip abalone)
Lineage: Eukaryota; Metazoa; Mollusca; Gastropoda; Lepetellida; Haliotidae
Exons: 2
Source: RefSeq, a predicted model, not a curated record